UACGGAGGGGGCUAGCGUUGUUCGGAAUUACUGGGCGUAAAGCGUACGUAGGCGGCUUUGUAAGUUAGAGGUGAAAGCCCGGGGCUCAACUCCGGAAUUGCCUUUAAGACUGCAUCGCUUGAAUCAUGGAGAGGUGAGUGGAACUGCGAGUGUAGAGGUGAAAUUCGUAGAUAUUCGCAAGAACACCAGUGGCGAAGGCGGCUCACUGGCCCGAUACUGACGCUGAGGUGCGAAAGCGUGGGGAGCAAACAGG
Molecule: ribosomal RNA, 253 nt
Filed under: uncultured bacterium
Lineage: Bacteria
Description: partial 16S ribosomal RNA
Rfam family: Bacterial small subunit ribosomal RNA
Source: RNAcentral